UUCAGGGCAGCGCACGUGUG
RNAcentral lists this unclassified non-coding RNA (20 nucleotides) under Mus musculus (house mouse). RNAcentral's name for it is "oocyte_clustered_small_RNA8613". Lineage: Eukaryota; Metazoa; Chordata; Mammalia; Rodentia; Muridae. The record is from RNAcentral.